GUCCUGGUAGCUCAGCGGUAGAGCGUCCGGCUUUUAACCGGUAGGUCGAAGGUUCGAUUCCUUUCCAGGACA
Molecule: non-coding RNA, 72 nt
Organism: Mycoplasmataceae bacterium CE_OT135
Lineage: Bacteria; Bacillati; Mycoplasmatota; Mollicutes; Mycoplasmatales; Mycoplasmataceae
Source: Rfam